CAUGGCUCAGGACGAACGCUGGCGGCGUGCUAAUACAUGCAAGUCGAGCGGACAGAAGGGAGCUUGCUCCCGGAUGUUAGCGGCGGACGGGUGAGUAACACGUGGGUAACCUGCCUGUAAGACUGGGAUAACUCCGGGAAACCGGAGCUAAUACCGGAUAGUUCCUUGAACCGCAUGGUUCAAGGAUGAAAGACGGUUUCGGCUGUCACUUACAGAUGGACCCGCGGCGCAUUAGCUAGUUGGUGAGGUAAUGGCUCACCAAGGCGACGAUGCGUAGCCGACCUGAGAGGGUGAUCGGCCACACUGGGACUGAGACACGGCCCAGACUCCUACGGGAGGCAGCAGUAGGGAAUCUUCCGCAAUGGACGAAAGUCUGACGGAGCAACGCCGCGUGAGUGAUGAAGGUUUUCGGAUCGUAAAGCUCUGUUGUUAGGGAAGAACAAGUGCGAGAGUAACUGCUCGCACCUUGACGGUACCUAACCAGAAAGCCACGGCUAACUACGUGCCAGCAGCCGCGGUAAUACGUAGGUGGCAAGCGUUGUCCGGAAUUAUUGGGCGUAAAGGGCUCGCAGGCGGUUUCUUAAGUCUGAUGUGAAAGCCCCCGGCUCAACCGGGGAGGGUCAUUGGAAACUGGGAAACUUGAGUGCAGAAGAGGAGAGUGGAAUUCCACGUGUAGCGGUGAAAUGCGUAGAGAUGUGGAGGAACACCAGUGGCGAAGGCGACUCUCUGGUCUGUAACUGACGCUGAGGAGCGAAAGCGUGGGGAGCGAACAGGAUUAGAUACCCUGGUAGUCCACGCCGUAAACGAUGAUUGCUAAGUGUUAGGGGGUUUCCGCCCCUUAGUGCUGCAGCUAAC
RNAcentral lists this ribosomal RNA (855 nucleotides) under uncultured Bacillus sp. Its description in RNAcentral is "bacterial SSU rRNA". It matches the Rfam family "Bacterial small subunit ribosomal RNA", at positions 18 to 856 of the family's 1533-position model. Lineage: Bacteria; Bacillati; Bacillota; Bacilli; Caryophanales; Bacillaceae. The record is from RNAcentral.